UCAAUAACUCAUACAUUAACCGCAUUCAUAAGAGGCUAUUUUGACAGGUCAUUUCUGAAUUUUUUGAAUUAAAUUAAUAGUACACAGAGAGACAUAAAUGAAAACUAAGUAAGUUUCAUUAAUAAUACAUGAAUACAGAAGUGAUGCCCACAAAAUAACAAAUCAGAUAAUUCUAUUUACUUACCCAUCAUAAAUUUUUAUUCAUUGAUGCGAAAAUAAAAUAUGGAUGAAAAGAGGUUGAUUGAAGAAAAGUAAAAUCAUUAAAUAAUUUUUUCUUUAUGAUAAAUUAGCCAAGCGUCUAGUGAUUUCAUAGAGUCAAAGAACGGAAUUUAAAUUACUGAUGUACUGAAAUCCUGAUUUUUAUGUCAAAUAUUCUAUCACUUCCUAACUAAUCCUUUUCAUAAAUAUGACUAAAAAAAUUACAAGUUUAAGUUGUUUCGAACUUAUCCUCUACACAUUCAUAAAUACGCCAUGAAACUAUGCAAUGUACAUCAAAGACAAAAAAAAAUGUUUAACUUGUAAAAUAAAUUGAGACUAGGCUUUUCAAAAUAGGGAUAUCUCCGAUAAAAUCUCAUACAUAAUCAUGCAAUCCGAAAUUGGAAUUGAGCUUGACAGGCAGGCUGCCAUUCUAGGAAGCUAUAUCUGUGACAGUGGAACAUAAAAAAGUCAUAUUUACAAAAAUCUAAUCCUUCUUCAAAGGAAUAAUUCUUGUCUCUACACCUUCUUUUGUGAUAAUCUUAACAAGAACUGAAUCACCAACCUCGAUGUGUCGUUCUCCAGCACUUGUAAAUGCAUCAGUAGUAAUCUUCAUAGCUUCCUCCAAUUUUAAAAGUCUCCUUGGCUUUCUCUCUUUUCCAUGUGAACCAGGAACGUACUGAUUAUGUAAGUUCACUUGAUUGUCGAGGAAUGGAGUAAUGAAGUUUGCAGCGGAUCCACCAGCACGGCACCAUUCCCGCUCAUAAGAGCCAACAGGAUCAAAAGAAUAAAUCUCUCCUUUUCCCUCUUUAUCGAUGCCGGCAACGGUUGUAUAUACAUAAUAGGGAAAAAAUCUCUUUCCGUACAAAAGUGUCCGUACCAUGCAAGCACAGGAUUGUGCACUCAUCUUGCGUUCAUGAUUAUCAUGAUACAAGUCAAUUCUUUGUUGAAUUCUCUUAACUAAAGCUAGGGCAUCGGCUUCGAAACCAGAUGCUCCAAUGACCAAAUCAUCACCGACUUCAUGCACGCGAGGUUGAAACCGCGUAUUAAUGUUGUAACCAUUAACACUUCUUGUAUCUCCAGCUAAAAUGGCAAACCCAUCGCCAGCGAUUGCAACAGUGGUACCACCAUUUUGUACAUAAGGAUCAAACUGAGACUGUGACAUGAUUUUUGUGACGUUUAAUUUAUUUUUUUCUUAAAAAGUUUAAAAGAUGAAGCGAAUUAUUAAUUUCUAGUUUGCUAGAGCACUAUUUAUUGUCUCAACAAACCUUUUUGGUGCUUAGUAGUUGGUGAGUUGGAUAUGCUUAUGUUACCUAAGUACUUGUACUAUAGCAGUGAAUACGUUAUUCAUAAUUGUCCCCCAAAAAUAUACAUUGCUCUAUAUAAAAUUACCUAGGAAGAUGUAUAUUUUUGAGUUUUCUAGUAAUGUUAUCUGCAUUUCAAGGUUUUCAUAUAAAAAAAGAAGCCUUUCUACACUGUACAUAUGAAUAUUUAAGAUUUUCUCAAUUGAAAAACAUUUCAUUAAAAUUGUGAUUGGUUUCUGUCGAUCAUGGAUUGUCGAUAUGCGUACCGAAUUUUGUCGAAAAUGAAUAUUUAGGUGAAUAAUGCAUAAAAUCUCGAAACUUAAUCAUUCCUAACGCAAAAUAUAUAUAUCAUCAUUUUAAGCACAUAAUGAGUUUAAAACAUUGAAGAAGCUUGGAAUACCAUCAGUAUAAGCCUUAGCUUCUGUAUUACCAACACCCAUUGAAACAGUAAAUGAUGAAACUUUGCUCUUAUUGGCCCAAGCAAAAACUGAUUCGUCGGUACGAUUGUUUCCUGCCACUAGAAUUAAAUCAAGCUCUUCAGGAUUUUUAAUGAGAUGAGUCAUAAUGUAAUUGGCAGCAGUAGCUUUACUAAUAGUAGUAGGCUCGCAAAGUACUCGCCCAUCUAGAGGAACAGCACGGCAGCCAUGCUGUGUUUCAUUAAUACUACUGGCCAACUCGCCAGCCGAUCGUAAACCGUUCUCUCUGUUUUCUGCCUUUACAUAAUUAAAUUCCAUGGCAAAGCCGUGAUCAAUUAGCGAGGAGCCAGGUGUUCUUUCACUGUAAUAUUGAAUAAUGUCAUGCAAUGGCUCACGCCAGUCCAUUUGUUGCUUUUUGUACAAACGAAUCCACGAUUGAUGAACAUUCUCAGCAUAGUGUGGUAGCACAUAACAGCCGUUUUCCGCAAUCAAACCAACACCCGGAACAUGCAUGAAUAACGAUUCAAGCUCGUCUUCCUCUAAACAACUAGCUAUGUAUACAAUAUUUCGAUCAUCAGCGAUCAACUUUGACAAUAUGCUGACCAUAUAUCCAUAAUGGAAAUCGACAAACUCAUGGCGACCUUCCCAGGUAACAGCGUUUCCAUCAAAAUUAAGAAUUAAUAACCUCUUCUUUGCAUGAUCAUAGCGAUUGCCAAUGAAAUUCAAUGUGAAUCUUGGCAAACGAGAAAAGUCACGUUUUUGUUGAGAAGUCCAAGACUUUUUGAGUUUCGUCUCAAAGCCAGUGACCCAAUUGCUAGCAGAAUGAGUUAAUACAACAUCCAGACAGUUGGAAUAUCGCUGAUUACGUUCAUUAGUACUUAACGUAAGCGCUUUUUUCAUUGACAAACUCAGUUCCAACGUGCUCCAGGGGUUAACAAUGAAUGCACCGUUAGAGAACAUUGAAGCACAGCCAAUGAAUUCACUAACAAUCAACGGCGACUUCUUUUGACGUUGUGUAAGGAUAAAUUCGUGGCAAGUCAAACUCAUUCCUUCACGUAAAGAUGUCACAAUGAAAGCAUCUGCAACAGAUAGCAAAGCAAGAUACUGAGGAUAUGAUAGAUCACUUGACAAAAUUGUGACAGGAAGAUGAUCUAGUGAAAAGUCUCCGAAAGCAGAAUUGAUUCUAGUGACGAUAUCGGAUAUUGCAACGCCAUACUCCUUCUGCUCUUCAGUAAAGGUUGAAGUUUGAAUCAGAAUGGUAUUUUUUUGAUACUCAGGGUUAUCGUAAAGAAAUUGUUCGAAAGCCAAAAGUUUCUCACGAAUUCCUCUUAUAGGAUCCAUUUUGUCACAUCCCACAAAGAUAUUGAGAUUUGCGUAGCGCUUUUCGAGAACUUCUUUAACCUCUAAAGUCUCAGGGUUUUCAAGCCACUUGUCCACUAAAACCGGGUCUGCACCGAUAGGAUGUGCAUAUACAUCUAUAUACCUAUCAUCCAGAAGAAUUCGAUCGAAAGUUGAUUCAGCAUAAAGUACACGAGAACAAGAUUGAAGGAAAUGGCGCUUGUAUUCCUCAGUUUGGAAACCAAUUAAAUUCGACCCAAGCAUACCUUGAAGAAGUUCUUUUCUUCGGGCAAAGCAACGAAAAACUUCGGAAGAGGGAAAAGAAACAUGAAUAAAUAAGCCAAUAAUUGCACUGGGUAUCCUCUCUCUAACCAUAUUUGGAACCAAAAGCAAAUGAUAGUCAUUAACCCAAAUGGUAUCACCAGUUUUGUAAUUCUUUAUUAAAGCAUCGGCAAACGCCCUGUUUACGGCGACAUAGUCGUCCCAAUUACUUUCUUCAUGGAAGAAUGAAAAUAUUUCGUUAUGCUGAUAAUGCAAUGAGGGCCAUAAAAUCUUACGGCAGUAGUGAUUAUAGUGACCCUCAAAGUUCGAAUCAGAGGUAUAAACAACCAAAGAUUGGUGUUUUACUAACAAAGCUCCUGAAAUAGCAUUUUUUGUUUUCUCAGAUAACGAUUCAGUUGGCAUACCAAGGAGACCAACCCAUAGAGGGUUCUGCAAUCCAUGAUCACGAACAGCUGCGUCCACAGCAUGAAAUAAACCACUAUUUCCUACAACUCCUCGCUCAACAGACCAACGAGCAGAUUCAAAAAGUGCAACAGAUUUCGCUAAAGAAUCUCUUCUCUUUCGACGAAUAGGAAGUGCACCAGCGCCGAUACCAGGUGCCGCAAAACGAUCGGCCUGCCUAACACGAGAAGGAGAAGUAGCGCGAGAACGAGGUUGGGUAUACAGAGGAGAGGAUCGGCCAGAUCCUGGAAUAGGGGACAUAGCACCUAAUCCCGGGGUCAUUGAACCACCAGUUCUCUUUGACGGACCCAAGCUAAAAUAGUCAUUCAUCCCCUCAAGUUGAGGCGUCAAAACAGGAGUAGCCUGACCACUUUCGGAUUUUGAGAUACUUAAACGAGUAAGGAUAUCAUCUAUCUUGACAGAAUCACGGUGUGUUUGUGUGACCUUCUCCUGAUGAGUAAUUGCUGGAUGUGAUUCAUGGUUACCUUCCAGCUCAUCAAGGUGAAAAUUGAUGGUAUAUGGAAGAUAAAUUGAGCAAAUGAAUUGUCUUCCCAUGAUUGUAGUUCAAAGUAUUAAUAUACUUGAGUAAAAUAAAUAAA
Schizosaccharomyces pombe (fission yeast) is the source of this 4575-nucleotide non-coding RNA. The record is from the annotation of a GenBank genome assembly. NCBI's taxonomy places the organism in Eukaryota, Fungi, Ascomycota, Schizosaccharomycetes, Schizosaccharomycetales, Schizosaccharomycetaceae.